Ictidomys tridecemlineatus (thirteen-lined ground squirrel) is the source of this 3722-nucleotide non-coding RNA. NCBI's taxonomy places the organism in Eukaryota, Metazoa, Chordata, Mammalia, Rodentia, Sciuridae. The record is from RefSeq and is a predicted model, not a curated record.
UCUGCGCCUGGACGCCCAGCUGGCCGGCUCUGCAAGACCCAGGAGGUCUCUGCUCUUCCCCCAGGUCAGGGCCCGUUUCCUGCCGCCUGCUGCACACAGUGAGUGCUGUGUUGGGAGGGAGGGUCCCCCAUUAGGGCCUGGGAGUGUCCCUCAAAGGCCCCUGUGUUCAAGGGUUGUCCCAGCCCGUGGGCCACUGGGAGAUGGUGGGACCCUUGAGAGGCGGGGCCUGGUGGAAGGAGGGUAGAGCCCUGGGGGUCAUGCCCUUGAAAAGGAUAUAGGGACCCUGGCACUUUCCUGUCUCUCUCUCUCUCUCUGUGUUUCCUGUCCACCAUGGGGCAAGCAUCCUCCUCUGCCACCUGCUCCUGCCAGGAUGUUCUGUGCUGCCACAGCCCCAGAGGCAACCAGGUCAAGUGACCACAGACAGAAACUGCUGAAACUACUGAGUCAGAACAAACCUUUUUCUUUAUAAAGUUUCUUUUCUCAGGCAUUGUGUCACAGCAAUGGAAAUCUAGCACACACGAUUCUCCAGAUGGACAGUGAUGGACAGUUUCCUGCUGGAUUAAAACAGAGGAAUUAAAUGAGAAUUCACGGCAUUUGGACCAGAACAGAAUGGAACACAAACCUCAGAAAGAGACUCUAGUAUAUUGAAGAAUGUAAUACUACCUCCUGAGUCAAAGAAUAUUUCCUUGGUGGACUUAGCAAUGAAGCAGCAUUCCCAAUGUAAGCCCUAGGUACGUCCCACGUCAUCCAGCUUUUGCACAGCUGCAAAGAAAACACGCACGGUAGUCACGGAUUACCUAGUGACGGGGCUGUGUCCUGAGAAAUGCAUUGGUGACAACCUCAUCACCCUGCACACCUCCGAGGGUGUAAACCAGCAUGGCUCAAAUAGCUCAACCCCUCCACCUGGCCUCUUGUUGCCACCGAGAGACGCAGAAAUCAUCAGGCCUGUGAGGCAGUUGCUGGGGUCACACAGAGAACUUGUUUGUUAUAAGGAGAAUGAGCACCCCCUGGAAUGAUAAUAAACAGGAUCGCCGAGCAAAUUCACAAGCCAGCAAUGCCAUCGCCUAUGGAGCUGGCCGGGCACGACGCGCUCGGUGUCCCUGUUGGCACUUUCUCUCCACCAGCAUUGCCAUAAACACAGCCGCCACCCCAUGACCUCACAGGCCAGCCCUGUCACUAGCCAACCCCGUCAGCGUCUCGGGGACCACUGUCUUGGCCUUAUGGCCCGCGAUGUCCUAUGGCACAGCACUGCUCUCCGUUUCAUAGGUGCUCAGGAAUUGUCGAGAUUGUGCUGGAAAGUGGCUUAAACAAAUUCAUUUUUAAAAACAUUCCCAAGCAUCUUCUUCAGAACUAUUUUUUCCAUCCCAAAGGUCAAUACAGGGGCUACCAGAUGUCUCUCCCUUUCCCACCCACAGCUCCCGUGUGGCUCCUCGGGUGACCUCUGUUCCCUCCUGCUCUGGGCUACCCCGGUGGCCCCAGGACUUCCCAUUCCACUUGCCCCCAUGCCACCCCCCUCUGGGACAGCAGGAGCCGCUGGAAUUUCCACCCCCCAUCCUCCCUGGCUCCCUGCGGAGAAGAGCCUACCACAGGCCCCCAGAGACAGAACCUCGUGCCUGGCUGCUUCAGGAAACAAGUUCCCCACCUUCAACAGAUCAGUGAGGAGGGAUCACUCAGUGACUGGCAGCUGGCACCACUGGUUACCUGCUUGGGAACAAAUGCUCCAUUUCCCACCUCACACCAAGACACCUUCCAGAUGGGUCGAAAAGCCUACAACCAACCUAAAUGAGCUACGGAAACGCAGAUGGAUGCCCAGGAGGCGUCAUGCAACCACCGACCCUGGCAGCCACUUCAUAAGCAUACACAGCCCUGCAUGCCCCAGAGUGCCCCCGAAGCCUUGGGAAUGAAUAUUGGCAACAGCUCCAACCCGUACACGUGACAGUAGAGUGGAUUUUGACACAUGGAGCAUCACCUCCCAUUCUGUAGUCUACAUGAUGUGGAGUUCACUGUUCGUGUGUUCAGAUACGAACUCAGGAGAGUGACUUCCAUUCAUCCUACUGUCUCCUUCCCUUCCUUCCCCUUGGUGGACUCCAGUGAGCCUCUGUUCUCCCUCCCCAGGCUGUGUGCUAGCCCCUUGGUUUCUGGUUACUCCCGGGUCUGGAUCCAGCCAACUCCACCCAAACUCCAGUGAGUUCCCUGGGACUCCUGCGCGUGCUCUGCUCCCAGCCACCGUGGCCUGUCACCUGGAUGGCUGCCGCCGUCCCCUGCUUCUGCUGGAUCUAAUCAGGAGGUUGGUAAACUUUUCCAGGAAGGACCCAGGCAGGAAACCUCGUGGGCUCUGCUGUCCCGUGGGUUGCUGUCCCGGUUACUCUCGCGCCACGUCAACAGCCGUGGGUACUAAACGGACGGGCACUGAGAUCCACAGAGUUUUCAUGAGGCGCGAAAUAUCAGUCUCUUUUGAUUUUCCCGACAAUGUAAGGUGCACAAAACUGAUCUCGGCUCCCAGGCUGCUCCGAGCCGCUGAAGGGAGCCAAUUGGGCGCUUCACCCGCCUCCUCCUGGAUUCACCUCUGGAUGGACCAGCUCUGACACCUGCCAGGAGGGCAGUUCCACCAGGCAAGGACUCCUGUCCCCAGCUUCCAGAACAGCGAGGGACAUGCAGUGAGCCCUCCACCAAUUUCAUUAAGUGAAUGAACAAGUGGGUGAGUGAGUGAGUUCUGGCCGGUCCCUAUCAUCAGUCCCAGGAAUCGAGGAAAUCAAACAUCAUUCUCCUCGUUUCUGAGUAGCGGAGGAGCUGCAGUUUCCUGAGGGAAGGAGCUGGGUUUGGCUCGUCUUUGUGUUUCGGGGGCACAGACGCGUACCUGCCAUCGUCAGAGCUAAGCCGAAGUCAGUGCCUUACCAGAGAACUGAAAUGUUAUGCUCCGUUUGAUGAAACUGAAAUGCAUUCUGCUGUCAUGUACGAACAAAUAAAAAAAAUGAGCAAAUAAGUAAGAAAAAAGAGUCUUCCCCUUGAAUCUCCAAAACUGUGAGCUAAAUAAACCUCUUUUCUUUGUAUAUAACCUAACCUCAGGUAUUUUGCUACAACAACAGCAAUGCACGAGUACAUUCCUUCAGGCAAGCACUUUCUCCUCAUAACGCUAUGGGAAACCUCGCCCCAAGCUGGUUAAUGUAGACACCUGUGUGGAGUGUGGAGGGGAGCUGGGGGCCGACAGCCUCCUGAGGUUAACUUACCGGAUGGAGCAGACGGAAAGGUCAUGCUAAGGAGAGAUGGCAUGUUGGCUGGGACACGCCCAGAGGGUGAUGGCUAUCAUGGUGGGCAGCCCAGGGAAGCCAAAUUCAAGAUGGAAAUUACUUUUCUAACCUUCCAAAUCUUGUCCUUCAAAAACAUACUGUUAACCUGUUCUUCCUUUUAGGUGUGUCAAGAAAAUUAUGGCCUGUGCUCCAUAUCCCAGGGUUCCUGACCUGCAGGGUCUGGGGUGGGGCCUGAGCCCAGCUAAGGAGGAGUCAGAGAGACCACCCUCGGGGUGAGAGAGGAGCGGCAGGUGGCCUUCCUGGAGCCUAUGUGUCCAGAAUGGGGCUCUGGAGCCGAGUCAGAUGAGUCACAAUCCUGCAGUGCGGCCUUCAACGUCUCGGGUUCCUACCUGGGAAUGGGGUUAUGCCACCUUCCACAAAACCCUGAGGUUAAAGGAGAAGUCUGCAAUGUGCCUAGCAAGGGGCCCACCUCCU